AGAGUUUGAUUCUGGCUCAGGACGAACGCUGGCGGCGUGCUUAACACAUGCAAGUCGAACGAAGGGUAGAAAUACCCUUAGUGGCGGACGGGUGAGUAACGCGUGAGCAAUCUGCCCUUGUCAGGGGAAUAACACAUAGAAAUGUGUGCUAAUACCGCAUGACGUUACGAAGUGGCAUCACUUUGUAACCAAAGAAUUAUCGGACAAGGAUGAGCUCGCGUCCCAUUAGGUAGUUGGUGAGGUAACGGCCCACCAAGCCGACGAUGGGUAGCCGACCUGAGAGGGUGAUCGGCCACAUUGGAACUGAGAGACGGUCCAGACUCCUACGGGAGGCAGCAGUGGGGAAUAUUGGGCAAUGGAGGGAACUCUGACCCAGCAACGCCGCGUGAAUGAUGAAGGUCUUCGGAUUGUAAAGUUCUGUGACGGGGGACGAAGAAAGUGACGGUACCCCGAAAGCAAGCUACGGCUAACUACGUGCCAGCAGCCGCGGUAAUACGUAGGUAGCAAGCGUUGUCCGGAAUGACUGGGCGUAAAGGGUGCGUAGGUGGCUAGGCAAGUUGGUAGUGAAAUUCCGGGGCUUAACUCCGGCGCUACUACCAAGACUGUUUAGCUUGAGUACAGGAGAGGUAAGUGGAAUUCCUAGUGUAGCGGUGGAAUGCGUAGAUAUUAGGAGGAACACCGGUGGCGAAAGCGACUUACUGGCCUGCAACUGACACUGAGGCACGAAAGCGUGGGGAGCAAACAGGAUUAGAUACCCUGGUAGUCCACGCCGUAAACGAUGAUUACUAGGUAUGGGAGGUAUCGACUCCUUCCGUGCCGCAGCCAACGCAAUAAGUAAUCCGCCUGGGGAGUACGGCCGCAAGGUUGAAACUCAAAGGAAUUGACGGGGACCCGCACAAGCAGCGGAGCAUGUGGUUUAAUUCGACGCAACGCGAAAAACCUUACCAGGUCUUGACAUCCUUUGACCGCCUGAGAGAUCAGGAAUCUCUAGCAAUAGAGCAGAGAGACAGGUGGUGCAUGGUUGUCGUCAGCUCGUGUCGUGAGAUGUUCGGUUAAGUCCGACAACGAGCGCAACCCUUGUAUACAGUUGCCAAUAUUAAGUUAGGAACUCUGUAUAAACUGCCGUGGCUAACACGGAGGAAGGUGGGGAUGACGUCAAAUCAUCACGCCCCUUACGACCUGGGCCACACACGUGCUACAAUGGCUAUUACAAAGAGAAGCGAAGCCGCGAGGCGGAGCGAAUCUCAAAAAGAUAGUCUCAGUUCAGAUUGUGGGCUGAAACCCGCCCACAUGAAGUCGGAGUUGCUAGUAAUCCCGGAUCAGCAUGCCGGGGUGAAUGCGUUCCCGGGUCUUGUACACACCGCCCGUCACGCCAUGGGAGUUCGGAGUACCCAAAGUCAACGGCCUAACCGCAAGGAGGGAGUUGCCUAAGGUAAUACGAAUGACUGGGGUGAAGUCGUAACAAGGUAGCCGUAUCGGAAGGUGCGGCUG
Molecule: ribosomal RNA, 1491 nt
Filed under: metagenome
Description: bacterial SSU rRNA
Rfam family: Bacterial small subunit ribosomal RNA
Source: RNAcentral